AGCACAUCAAGUGGGCGGUGAACCAGAAGCUUGGAGUGAUGCCUGGGGUGCAGUGCAGGGACGGGCCGUUCGGCAAGAAGCAGCUCUACCAGAUCUACCUUUGCGUCGACAAGAACGGGGAGGCCUUCAUCGACUGUCCCAAGCUGCCCAAACUGCAGUGCCCUGAGGAGGUCCUCUUCCACCCCUUCCACACGUGGAUGCUCAACGCCACAUCGCCUGCCAAGAUCAUGUUGCCCACCAAGGCCUGAGAGCCACCCACCCAGCCGGCGCUUCACCUGAGAGUACGUACUACUGUGGCCUGGAGCAUUAUAUCGUGCUUGUUGCUCCGGUGAAUAAAUAAAUGGAUGGUUGAAUAAAUAAAA
RNAcentral lists this long non-coding RNA (362 nucleotides) under Triticum aestivum (bread wheat). Its description in RNAcentral is "long non-coding RNA (TAES_LNC004604)". Lineage: Eukaryota; Viridiplantae; Streptophyta; Magnoliopsida; Poales; Poaceae. The record is from RNAcentral.